RNAcentral lists this long non-coding RNA (1186 nucleotides) under Citrus maxima (pomelo). Its description in RNAcentral is "long non-coding RNA (CMAX_LNC003959)". The record is from RNAcentral. Lineage: Eukaryota; Viridiplantae; Streptophyta; Magnoliopsida; Sapindales; Rutaceae.
CCCUUGUCUUAUACGCUCACGCCAGGCUCCUUCAUACCAAUGCCUAUUGGCAAAACGACAGACACCAAAUCCAUGCAUCUUGUAUUCUUCAGCAUAUGUGUCCCCAUCUUUAAGUAAGAAACGAUGUCAAUAUGGGAAGAAAAAGAUUCAUAUGCCUAUGCAUUAAAAAAAAAAAACAGAACAAACAAUUAAUACAAUCUACUAUUAAACUCACUAUCUAAUAAAAUUCAGCAAGGUAUCUGGACCAACAAAAUGAACACAAAUUAUCCUUAUGAAUGACAUUUUCAAGAUCACUUUAAUCUUUGUCUACCGAUUAAUAAAAUUACGAUCAAACUUAAGCUCACAGUUUGUUUAAAUGUAAAUGCAAGAUUGUUCGGCAUUUCCUUCUCCAAGAAAUUAAUUGCCUUUUCCUCCUUCAUUCCACUGCUGCUUGCAAUAAAAUUAAACAUUGAGAAUUUCUUACCUAUAUCACCUCAUUGCAUUCUUAUAAAUAAACAUAACCGGCUCUCCCAAUCGAAUUAUGAAUAGUAACUCUUUCAAACAAAAUUAACCAUUAUUUUUUCACCAAUUGCCUUCUUCAUCCGCUUCGAACUGCACACCAGUAAAUCAAACAGAUGAGAUAUUCCCUCUACUUUCAGAUAUGGGUAAUUCCUAUACUUUCAGCACCGGAAAAUAUAGGUUGCAAUUUGCUACUACGUUUACAGAAGCACCAUCUGAUUUGUUCCCACAACAGCCUAUAUUCAUAAACAAAACAUCCGAAUCUUUUUCCCCACAAAAUUGCGAUCGUCUUCUCUUGUAUUUGGUGUAUCUUGAUUAUUUGUCAAAUUAAAUCACAUAUACCCGCUGGUUUCUUUGCCUCUUGCCAUCGAAAUUGCUCUGUUGACAACCCAGGUUCCAACUUAGGUGAAUCCUCCGAAUAUUUUCCCCCCAAUAAAAUGCGAUCGUCUUCUUUUCAUAUUCGUGUCUCCGGAUUAUUUCUUAACGGCCAUCUUCUCAACCCUUUGUUUCUCUUUUCUCGUGAGUAAAUCAUUCAUGUUCUUCCUAAUCACCUGUUUCAAACUGACGCCCCCUCAAAAGCCAUUACUUGAGUAGAUAACUGGCUUCAACGGUUGCUAGUACAUACUUUGUUUUUCCACUCAAUAAUCUUAACCGUUAGAUGGAGUCUCUUCAGAUCCUACGAUAAUUG